This is a non-coding RNA of Neolamprologus brichardi, 1037 nucleotides long. The record is from RefSeq and is a predicted model, not a curated record. NCBI's taxonomy places the organism in Eukaryota, Metazoa, Chordata, Actinopteri, Cichliformes, Cichlidae.
UCAAGCCAGAAAACAUCCUUCUGAGAGUGGAUGAGGUUUAUGUUCGAAAGCUCGCGGCCGACACCAAGCUGUGGCAGAUGCCCACGUCUCCUGUAUUCACCGGCACCUCAGUGAACACAGUUUCCAGAGAAAAACAGAGUGCGCCCAAGUUACUCGGAAAGCUGACUGGGGUUUUCCACACUCUUGGGGAGUGGGUAAGAUGGAGUUGGUGUUCUGCUUUUAUACUGAUGCAUCUUAUAAGCUCCUACAUCUUUAUCAAACUGUGUAACAACCGGCCUUUUGUACAAGCACACUGCACUGAGACUUCUGGAUAUGGGGAAAGUUACUGUUCAUACUUGAUUUUUAUCAGCAGUUGCCUAGUUGCUGAGCAGUUGUGGCCUCUUCACCUCAGUCAGAAAAUAUGCUCUGCCUAUUUUUGCAUUUGUAACAUUCAUAUAAUCAAUAAUUAUGGCAUUCAUAUUGCAGCAUUUUUUUCUUACUACCCACUCAGGUGUGUGUAACUUUUACAGAGAGUUUGGGCAGAGAUUGGAGAGCACGUUAUAUGUGUUCAUUCUACUGUAUUUUUCUUCCUUUCUCAUCCUAAAGAGAUACUGGAAAGAGGCGUUUGCAAUAUAUGCACUGCAUUUAUAAAAAGUAACUUUGUAAACUCCUGUACGCAGUGGAGUACAGACAAGUAAAGAGCAGGUUAUCAUGUAUUUAGAGAGUACAGCUUCUAUGGUGUAUUACUUAUGGUAUAUAUUCUACAGUAGGCAACUUACUGUGACUAUCAGGACUGGGCACUAAGCCAUGCUGAAACAGUAAGCAGACACAACUGGUUAUUUUGAUGUCCUUCCAAUAGCCGCUGUUGUGGUUUCACCAUAGCUUGUUGUCAGCAACCGGCUCUAAAUCAUGUGAAAACUUUAUGAUUCACUGCUGAGGUAUGAAAUAUAAAAACAAUGCUAAGUAUGUCCACUGUUGUCUGCGCACUAAAGUACUAAUAGAAUAUGAAACAUCACUUGUAGUUGCAUUAUUCUGCAUUUUUGCUGGAACUCACAAAG